AUUCAGUUUGAGGUUUAAAAACCCUAAUGCUGACUAAAAGGGAAAAUUCAGUUUAGGGUUUAAAACCCUAAUGCUGACUAAAAGGAAAAUUCAGUUUAGGGUUUAAAACCCUAAUGCUGAUUGCAUGAAAAAGCUCAGUUUAGAGUUUAAAACUCUAAUGCUGGCUGAAAGGAAAGGGUUCAGUUUAGGGUUUAAAACGCUAAUGCUGAUUGCAUGAAAAAGCUCAGUUUAGAGUUUAAAACCCUAAUGCUGACUAAAAGGAAAAAUUCAGUUUAGGGUUUAAAACCCUAAUGCUGACUACAUGGAAAAAGCUCAGUUUAAAGUUUAAAACUCUAAUGCUGGCUGAAAGGAAAAUUCAGUUUAGGGUUUAAAACCCUAAUGCUGAUUGCAUGGAAAAGCUCAGUUUAGAGUUUAAAACUCUAAUGCAGGCUGAAAGGAAAAUUCAGUUUAGGGUUUAAAACCCUAAUGCUGAUGGCAUGGAAGAGCUCAGUUUAGAGUUUAAAACUCUAAUGCUGGCUGAAAGGAAAAUUCAGUUUAGGGUUUAAAACCCUAAUGCUGAUUGCAUGGAAAAGCUCAGUUUAGAGUUUAAAACUCUAAUGCUGGCUGAA
Molecule: long non-coding RNA, 608 nt
Filed under: Nicotiana tabacum (common tobacco)
Lineage: Eukaryota; Viridiplantae; Streptophyta; Magnoliopsida; Solanales; Solanaceae
Description: long non-coding RNA (NTAB_LNC000575)
Source: RNAcentral